RNAcentral lists this ribosomal RNA (482 nucleotides) under uncultured bacterium. RNAcentral describes it as "partial 16S ribosomal RNA". It matches the Rfam family "Bacterial small subunit ribosomal RNA", at positions 29 to 507 of the family's 1533-position model. The record is from RNAcentral.
AUUGAACGCUGGCGGCAUGCUUUACACAUGCAGGUCGAACGGUAACAGGCCGCAAGGUGCUGACGAGUGGCGGACGGGUGAGUAAUGCAUCGGAACGUGCCCAGUCGUGGGGGAUAACUACUCGAAAGAGUAGCUAAGACCGCAUACGAUCUAUGGAUGAAAGCGGGGGACCGGAAGGCCUCGCGCGAUUGGAGCGGCCGAUGUCAGAUUAGGUAGUUGGUGGGGGAAAGGCUCACCAAGCCAACGAUCUGUAGCUGGUCUGAGAGGACGACCAGCCACACUGGGACUGAGACACGGCCCAGACUCCUACGGGAGGCAGCAGUGGGGAAUUUUGGACAAUGGGCGCAAGCCUGAUCCAGCAAUGCCGCGUGCAGGAAGAAGGCCUUCGGGUUGUAAACUGCUUUUGUACGGAACGAAACGGCUCUGGUUAAUACCCGGGGCUAAUGACGGUACCGUAAGAAUAAGCACCGGCUAACUACGUG